UCUUUAACAGAAUGUCCUGCAAGCACUUCCAGUACAUUUCAUCCGAUAUAGAAGUAAUUGCUGCCCUCAUAAAAUGCAUCUCUGCAUUCCCAAAGGUCCCAACACUUCCCUCCAACCAGACACGGGGAGAUGUUCUGAACUCUACCAUCACAGCCAAGUUAUUAUUCCUCUCAAUUCUACCUCCUAAGAAGGGUUUCUCUGUCCUCAACUGCCAUUGUCUAAUUUGGGGUACUCAUUACUGCAGUUUUCUGUCUUCUAUCUUAGGUCGGGCUUUCUGGGAAGCAAACUUUAAGUUUCUGAGAUUUCCGUGGGAAGGUUGUUGGAGAGUGCAUGCGAGAGAAAUUAAUACCUUUGUGAGGAGUGGAGAAAGUAAGUUGAACUGCACUGUAGUUGCAAGAAUAACUUCAAUCAUUCCUCCAGGGUGCUCUGGAACUGUAUGACCCUUACGACUUAUCCAAACUUGAUGUAAGGGGUUGAGGUGAGGGGACCUUAAAGUAACAAAUUCCACUCUCCUUAACCACCACCACUCACCCUGCCAUCUCCUACUGCUCCCACCUGCCACUGGAUGUGAGCAGCACCCAUCCCAACCCAGGGAUCUCAGCUGAGAGUCACCAGCAACCAGGUAUGAGGGCCUCAGCCUUCAAAGGAAGCAGAGUAGAAUAGGACAUCAUUCACCACAAUGUCUUGCUGCUUUCUAGGUUGUCCCCCACAACACCACCAGAAGGGUUUUCUGAUCCCAAACUUAAUCACAUUACCUCCUUUCAGUAACUCCUCCUUACCCACAAGAUGAUUCAAAUAUGAUCUGUCUGAUGGAAGUUUAUCUCCCUUGGCUCUUCCCCUCACAUGCACACUUAAGCCACAAAUACCAUGAUGGUGCUCUAUCCCUUACCAAUGCUGCUCCUCAGCUGGGAAGGAUACCCACUUCUCUUACCAGCAGACAUCCAUUUAGCCUUUAGGGCUCAUCUUAGUAACUUCUCUGAAAUGCCUUUCUUAUUAACCUCAAAGAGAGGUAAUAAUACGCUUGCAAUUAUUUGCUUACAUGACCACUAGACAGACCUUCUUAUGAGCUGAGCCUGGAUUAUAUUCAUAGAGUGUGAAUGAAUGAAUUAGUCAGCCAUGGUCAUCAUGUACCAGUCUCCUCCUACUGGGGUUAACUCAAACUAACUCGAGUUGACUUUAAUCUACUCAUUUUUUUUUUCAGGGACUUAAUUUGGUUGCUCCGUGAGAGCUGCAGGCCC
Molecule: long non-coding RNA, 1238 nt
Filed under: Marmota monax (woodchuck)
Lineage: Eukaryota; Metazoa; Chordata; Mammalia; Rodentia; Sciuridae
Source: RNAcentral